GUUUUAUCAUAAUUUUACUUUUUGAAAAUUAUGCUAUUUUGUGACUAAGGCUACGUCUCAUGUACUUUCCACCAAUAGUAUACGAUAUCAAUGGAUUCUAGUUAAUCCUUUUGGGUAAGAUUGGAACUAACUCUGUGUUUGGUAGAUAAAGUUAUAUGACUAACUUGUCCAAGUGUUGAGAAACGGGCCCCUGCUGAGUACAUGUAGGCCUAGAGUUUUUAUGCCCCCACAGACGAAGCCCAGAGGGGGCAUUAAGCGUUGCCCCUGUCCGUCCCCCCCCCCACUUGGUUUCCGCGCAAUAACUCGAAAAAUAUUUAAUGGAUAAAAAAAAAAUUCGUGUGUAGGUAGAUGACCACAAAAUACAGGCUAAGUUCGAAUUCGGAGUCCGCAGGUCAAAGGUCACAUCUCAUUAUAUAUGUAAGUCGGUUCAAAGGUCUAAAUUUGUUAAUUAUAUAUAUAUGCAUAUUGGUUUCUGCAUGAUAUUAAGUUCAAUUAUAUUGAAUGGAUUUCUGAUCGCGUUAAGCGGGGGCAUCUGUGUCCUUUGGACACGUCAAAUUUUCUUAAUUAUGUGUAAUUGAUUUUAUGACAUGUGUUUACAUUUGCUGCAGAUUCCCAUUCAGCCGUUGGACUGAACCGGUACUGUAACACAGUAUGGAUGGUCAAUAUGAAGCGAGCUUCAUUGAAUUCCUCCAAGAGCUCUGUACUCCGUUUUGCUCAUUUUGAAGAUGGUUGCUUUGACAGGACUGGGCAAGUGACUCGUCUUAGACAGGAUGCUGUCCCAACCAUAUUUGAUUUCCUGCCUCGUCUUCAGAAGAAUUCACCCAAGCCAAGGAAUUCCCCGGAAGAAAGACGUUUUGAGUCAGCAAACAACCUCCCAGAUACUGCAAAGUCUUCAGCACCUUCAUUUCACGAGGACCACUCCUACUCAAUAUCAGAAAGUCCAAGAGGGGUAAAGUGGAAGAUAACUGCAAUAAUGGACUAUUAAAAACUUGGAGAAGAGGCUGAAACCACACAGCAGAAGUCCCGCCGUGUACAUUACUUGCUCUUAAGUUUGGACAAACAUGACUCGCAAAACUUUACAACAAAUAAUUUACGCUAUGUGCAUUCUGAUUAUUUAAAAUAGCUCAAUGAAAAAGUUUACCACUGGGCAUGUAACAAAAGUGCAUUCAUUAAAUUUGAACGUGUUGCAAAAA
Long non-coding RNA from Lytechinus pictus (painted urchin), 1193 nucleotides. RefSeq lists it as uncharacterized. NCBI's taxonomy places the organism in Eukaryota, Metazoa, Echinodermata, Echinoidea, Temnopleuroida, Toxopneustidae. The transcript has 2 exons. The record is from RefSeq and is a predicted model, not a curated record.